This 450-nucleotide ribosomal RNA is filed under the name uncultured bacterium. Its description in RNAcentral is "partial 16S ribosomal RNA". It matches the Rfam family "Bacterial small subunit ribosomal RNA", at positions 338 to 795 of the family's 1533-position model. The record is from RNAcentral.
CCUACGGGGGGCUGCAGUAAGGAAUAUUGGUCAAUGGACGAAAGUCUGAACCAGCCAUCCCGCGUGCAGGAUGAAAGCCCUAUGGGUUGUAAACUGCUUUUAGCAGAGAAGAAAAGCUUUCAUUAAUGAGAGUCUGACGGUAUCUGCAGAAUAAGCACCGGCUAACUCCGUGCCAGCAGCCGCGGUAAUACGGAGGGUGCGGUAGUUAUCCGGAAUUACUGGGGUUAAGGCGGAGGUAGACGGAGUAUUUGAAAUCUUGUCGCUUAACGAGAAAAUUGCCAAUGAUACUGGGACUCUUGAAUUGGGUUGAGGUUAGCGGAAUGUGACAUGUAGCGGUGAAAUGCAUAGAUAUGUCAUGGAACACCAAUUGCGAAGGCAGCUAACUGGGCCUUGAUUGACGCUGAGGCACGAAAGCGUGGGUAGCGAACAGGAUUAGAUACCCUAGUAGUC